Molecule: ribosomal RNA, 156 nt
Filed under: Gymnomyces sp. SOC 776
Lineage: Eukaryota; Fungi; Basidiomycota; Agaricomycetes; Russulales; Russulaceae
Description: 5.8S ribosomal RNA
Rfam family: 5.8S ribosomal RNA
About the family: 5.8S ribosomal RNA (5.8S rRNA) is a component of the large subunit of the eukaryotic ribosome. It is transcribed by RNA polymerase I as part of the 45S precursor that also contains 18S and 28S rRNA.
Source: RNAcentral
AACUUUCAACAACGGAUCUCUUGGCUCUCGCAUCGAUGAAGAACGCAGCGAAAUGCGAUACGUAAUGUGAAUUGCAGAAUUCAGUGAAUCAUCGAAUUUUUGAACGCACCUUGCGCCCCUUGGCAUUCCGAGGGGCACACCCGUUUGAGUGUCGUG